CAAUAGCGUAUAUUAAUGCUGCUGCUGUUAAAAAGCUCGUAGUUGGAUGAAGAGUUUCACCGUGCUGUUUGGCCUUCUUGAACUGUUUAUCGUAUGGUAAGCAGGGAGAGCGGGAUAAAACCAACAGCAUUAAGCGGUGUGCUCUAACAGCCCGAAACGGUUGAUGGUUAGUAGGCUUCUUCAUUGGGGCUGAAAGCGACUUCGCAUAAACCUUAUGCAAAAGUCACGUCGGGCGAUGUCACUGUGAACAAACCAGCGCGUUCAAAGCAGGCUUUUAGCCAGAAUGUUCGAGCAUGGAAUGACAAGGGAUCGAACGAAACGGUCUUCUUUGUUGGUUUCUAUACCGAAAACGUAUAACUCUGAUUACACAGUCUGAAUGGGAUCCCGAUGCUUCGGCAGAGGCCCCAAUCAGCUUGUAUUCAAACGGGAUCAAUAGAGACAAUCGGGGUCGUAAGUACUCGGAUGUCAGAGGUGAAAUUCUUAGAUCAUCCGAAGAC
This 497-nucleotide ribosomal RNA is filed under the name uncultured eukaryote. Its description in RNAcentral is "bacterial SSU rRNA". It matches the Rfam family "Eukaryotic small subunit ribosomal RNA", at positions 592 to 936 of the family's 1831-position model. The record is from RNAcentral.